This 744-nucleotide ribosomal RNA is filed under the name uncultured bacterium. RNAcentral's name for it is "bacterial SSU rRNA". It matches the Rfam family "Bacterial small subunit ribosomal RNA", at positions 8 to 796 of the family's 1533-position model. The record is from RNAcentral.
AGAGUUUGAUCAUGGCUCAGAACGAACGCUGGCGGCAGGCCUCAAACAUGCAAGUCUAGGGGGUGCAGCAAUGCAUCACCGGCGGACGGGUGCGUAACACGUGGGAAUGUACCUACUGGUUCGGAACAACUGCGGGAAACUGCAGCUAAUACCGAAUAAGCCCUUCGGGGGAAAGAUUUAUCGCCAGUAGAUCAGCCCGCGUUCGAUUAGCUAGUUGGUGAGGUAAUGGCUCACCAAGGCUCCGAUCGAUAGCUGUUCUGAGAGGAAGAUCAGCCACACUGGGACUGAGACACGGCCCAGACUCCUACGGGAGGCAGCAGUUGGGAAUCUUGGACAAUGGGGGAAACCCUGAUCCAGCCAUGCCGCGUGAGUGAUGAAGGCCUUCGGGUUGUAAAGCUCUUUUACCCGGGAAGAUAAUGACUGUACCGGGAGAAUAAGCUCCGGCUAACUUCGUGCCAGCAGCCGCGGUAAUACGAAGGGGGCUAGCGUUGUUCGGAAUUACUGGGCGUAAAGCGUGCGCAGGCGGCUUCUCAAGUCAGUGGUGAAAGCCCGGAGCUCAACUCCGGAAUUGCCAUUGAAACUGUGGAGCUUGAGGACGAGAGAGGUGAGUGGAAUUCCCAGUGUAGAGGUGAAAUUCGUAGAUAUUGGGAAGAACACCGGUGGCGAAGGCGGCUCACUGGCUCGUUUCUGACGCUCAGGCACGAUAGCGUGGGGAUCAAACAGGAUUAGAUACCCUAGUAGUCC